RNAcentral lists this long non-coding RNA (546 nucleotides) under Brassica rapa (field mustard). RNAcentral describes it as "long non-coding RNA (BRAP_LNC007823)". Lineage: Eukaryota; Viridiplantae; Streptophyta; Magnoliopsida; Brassicales; Brassicaceae. The record is from RNAcentral.
UAGCAUCUACCUGUUAUUCAUAAAACAAAAAAAAAAAUCUAAAGUAGACAAACUCGAACCAAAAAUGUUUAAAUUAGACAAAAUCUAUGGCUGUAACUGGUUAUUCCUAAUAGGAAUACAUGGAAUAAAAGGAAUAAUUAUAUGUGGAAUAAAGAAAAUUGGAAUGAUCAACAAAAUGGAAUAAAAACUGAAAUUUGUUUUGGAAUUGGAAUUCCAAUCAUCCCACACAUUCACGAUCAUUUUUGAUAUGGAACAAAUGAAAAAGAUUUUACAAAGGAUUUGUUUUUAAGUUUUAUUCCAUUUUUGGAAUAUGUGGAAUUGAUUUCAAAAGGUUUUCCAUGUAACUGGUAAAUAUUUUUUGGAAUUCUGUGGAAUGAUGCAUUCCAAACAAUUCCAUUCCAAAAUUUAGCAUUCCAGUUGCAGCCUAUGUAAGAGUUGGAUUCAACUUCCAAAAAGAAGAAUCAUAUAUAAACAUAAGAAAAAAGUGGUUUACUAUCCAAGAAGUGGUAACAAAGUUGCUGAUAGAAUAGCGAAGGAGACUGUUAC